This 240-nucleotide unclassified non-coding RNA is filed under the name soil metagenome. RNAcentral's name for it is "partial contains 5.8S ribosomal RNA, internal transcribed spacer 2, and large subunit ribosomal RNA". The record is from RNAcentral.
AACAUCGCGCACCUGCGGGAACCUGCGGAGGGAUCAUUAUCGAGUGUAAUCUACCCCUUUAAAAAAGGGUAGUACCUCCCGUCCUUUGCAGGCCUCUUUUUUUAUUAGGGGGGGCUUUUUAAGACUUUCUGCUUCGGCGGGGUUACUCCCGCCGGAACACCCUCAAAAAAUUCUCGAAAAAAAUCGUUCAGUCCGAGAACUUUUUAAAAAUAAAAUAAAACUUUUAGCAAUGGAUCUCAG